RNAcentral lists this ribosomal RNA (1147 nucleotides) under Acinetobacter baumannii. RNAcentral's name for it is "bacterial SSU rRNA". It matches the Rfam family "Bacterial small subunit ribosomal RNA", at positions 1 to 1141 of the family's 1533-position model. Lineage: Bacteria; Pseudomonadati; Pseudomonadota; Gammaproteobacteria; Moraxellales; Moraxellaceae. The record is from RNAcentral.
UUUAACUGAAGAGUUUGAUCAUGGCUCAGAUUGAACGCUGGCGGCAGGCUUAACACAUGCAAGUCGAGCGGGGGAAGGUAGCUUGCUACUGGACCUAGCGGCGGACGGGUGAGUAAUGCUUAGGAAUCUGCCUAUUAGUGGGGGACAACAUCUCGAAAGGGAUGCUAAUACCGCAUACGUCCUACGGGAGAAAGCAGGGGAUCUUCGGACCUUGCGCUAAUAGAUGAGCCUAAGUCGGAUUAGCUAGUUGGUGGGGUAAAGGCCUACCAAGGCGACGAUCUGUAGCGGGUCUGAGAGGAUGAUCCGCCACACUGGGACUGAGACACGGCCCAGACUCCUACGGGAGGCAGCAGUGGGGAAUAUUGGACAAUGGGGGGAACCCUGAUCCAGCCAUGCCGCGUGUGUGAAGAAGGCCUUAUGGUUGUAAAGCACUUUAAGCGAGGAGGAGGCUACUUUAGUUAAUACCUAGAGAUAGUGGACGUUACUCGCAGAAUAAGCACCGGCUAACUCUGUGCCAGCAGCCGCGGUAAUACAGAGGGUGCGAGCGUUAAUCGGAUUUACUGGGCGUAAAGCGUGCGUAGGCGGCUUAUUAAGUCGGAUGUGAAAUCCCCGAGCUUAACUUGGGAAUUGCAUUCGAUACUGGUGAGCUAGAGUAUGGGAGAGGAUGGUAGAAUUCCAGGUGUAGCGGUGAAAUGCGUAGAGAUCUGGAGGAAUACCGAUGGCGAAGGCAGCCAUCUGGCCUAAUACUGACGCUGAGGUACGAAAGCAUGGGGAGCAAACAGGAUUAGAUACCCUGGUAGUCCAUGCCGUAAACGAUGUCUACUAGCCGUUGGGGCCUUUGAGGCUUUAGUGGCGCAGCUAACGCGAUAAGUAGACCGCCUGGGGAGUACGGUCGCAAGACUAAAACUCAAAUGAAUUGACGGGGGCCCGCACAAGCGGUGGAGCAUGUGGUUUAAUUCGAUGCAACGCGAAGAACCUUACCUGGCCUUGACAUACUAGAAACUUUCCAGAGAUGGAUUGGUGCCUUCGGGAAUCUAGAUACAGGUGCUGCAUGGCUGUCGUCAGCUCGUGUCGUGAGAUGUUGGGUUAAGUCCCGCAACGAGCGCAACCCUUUUCCUUACUUGCCAGCAUUUCGGAUGGGAACUUU